UUUACUUUUCUAGAAAUGUAGAGAUAAUAACAAUUUUAUAAAAGCCAUAGUUUUUGGUGCACAGCGAAGCGUUAUUUAUUGUAUCUAGUCCUCAUUUUCAUAUAAGAAUUCAGCGUUCAGUUUAAAAUGAAAACUGGGACUAUACUGUGCAAUAAAAUGACACAAAUAAUUUAAGUUUUCAAAAUGAUAAUGAUUGACCAUGUUACCAUGUAUGCAAAAGCUGAAGUGAAGCAUUUUAAAAACAGUUAAAAAUGAAGAACUGUUGCAUUUAGCAAAUGAGAAACCAGACCUUGUAAUCAUUUCCAUACAUAAAUAAAGGACGAUUUUCCCCAAUCUAUAGAUUGUUCUGAGUAACAGUUAACCAAUCUGUUAGUGAUGCAAACUGAGGACCGUAGCCAUUGUAUCGUGUGUUUUAUUUUAGCGUUGUACGGAAAGAUUGCAAGAGAAGGACAACACGCAGAAUUUUUGCUCAUUGGAAAAAUACCGAUUCGAUUAGUUUCCACGGCAGGAGAAAACAUGCUGUGUGCUACAGCUCAGGAUCACAGCCUUGAAGCAUCGUCAAGAAAGGGAGCCUCUGGUGAAUUCGGCAGUAGAUUCCAAACAGACACUUCACAGCCCACCUGAGGUUGAGAAUCUUUCCCAGAUGUGAGUUGCUGAGAGACCAGAAAGCCUCAGUUUCCAGUCCUUGAUCCACCAGGAAGCAAUGAAAUGAACACACACACACCGGCCCACACUACUUCUCCUCUGGUGACCCCCAAUAUAAAAUUGUGUCUGUUUUAAAAUCCUAAAAUGAAACUUUUCCUAUUUAUUAAUUUGGAAGCUGCCUGCAGCAGCGAGACCACACUGGGACCAGAGUGUUGGAAAUAUCUUCUCACAUCCAUGGAAUGCUGUUGGUUGUCCCCCUCCUGCGCCCAUAAUUUACCACUGAUGCUUUAUGGAUUUACUGUUGGGCAAAUGAUGUUCAUUUAGUGACCUGAGAAAGCAGUAUGGGAAAAUAUUGGACACGCGAUAAAUAUAGAUUGGUAGGGCCACCUGGUGGUCAUUGUGGCUAAUAACAAAUAUGUUAGUUUGCCUCCACUUCCUCAUGGUUAGACAUCUACUAUAUUUAUUUACACACACACACCAUCUAGUGAACAAGGCUGCUACUCUGCACAGCUUAUAAUCUCAUGAUGUAGGUAAAGGUAAAGGUUCCCCUUGACAAUUUUUGUCCAGUCGUGUUCGACUCUAGGGGGCGGUGCUCAUCCCUGUUUCCAAGCCAUAGAGCCAGCGUUUUUGUCCGA
Molecule: long non-coding RNA, 1280 nt
Filed under: Pogona vitticeps (central bearded dragon)
Lineage: Eukaryota; Metazoa; Chordata; Lepidosauria; Squamata; Agamidae
Description: lncRNA (ENSPVIG00000005682.1)
Source: RNAcentral